This 301-nucleotide ribosomal RNA is filed under the name uncultured bacterium. RNAcentral's name for it is "partial 16S ribosomal RNA". It matches the Rfam family "Bacterial small subunit ribosomal RNA", at positions 509 to 809 of the family's 1533-position model. The record is from RNAcentral.
CAGUCGCCGCGGGAAUACGUAGGUGGCGAGCGAUGUCCGGAUUUAUUGGGCGUAAAGGGAGUGUAGGCGGUCUUUUAAGUCUGAUGUGAAAGCCCACGGCUCAACCGUGGAGGGUCAUUGGAAACUGGGAGACCUGAGUGCAGAAGAGGAGAGCGGAAUUCCAUGUGUAGCGGUGAAAUGCGUAGAUAUAUGGAGGAACACCAGUGGCGAAGGCGGCUCUCUGGUCUGUAACUGACGCUGAGGCUCGAAAGCGUGGGGAGCAAACAGGAUUAGAUACCCCGGUAGUCCCUGUCUCUUAUAA